Molecule: non-coding RNA, 32 nt
Filed under: Rattus norvegicus (Norway rat)
Lineage: Eukaryota; Metazoa; Chordata; Mammalia; Rodentia; Muridae
Source: RNAcentral
UGAGUUUUUAAAUAUAACAACUCUAAUGCAGC